UAGUUUAACGUGUUGCGUUUCUUUCCUUCUACAGCCAAGUGCCACCUUUGCCUCUAGCUUCAUAAAAACCCAGUCCUCUUUGGCACAGUACUAUUUGCUCAUGUUCGUGAAAAUCAUUGAGCUCUGCAAGCUUAAGGGUAAGGAGACCAGGGCGGAGCCGGAGGUUUCCAGAGUCAGCAAGGCCUCGGGGGGCAGCAGCGAGCACAUCAACAAGCUGCCACCGCCGGUGCCGGUGCAGGAGGAGGAGGAGCAGGAGGAGGAGGCGCCGGAAUGGCUGGACGUGCUGCUGCGGACGAAAUUCUGGGGGCAGUGCAAGCAGCACUGGGACGCGAGCCGCGCGGAGGUUUGCAUCUUCUGCCUCCGCUGCCGCCAGGUGCUCUGCCCGCGCUGCAGCCAUGACGAGCCCGGCCACCGGCUGCUCAAGGUCCGCCGCUACAUGUACCGCUCCGUCGUUCUCGCCAGGGACUUGCAGGACCUCAACGUUGACGUGUCCAGGGUACAGACAUACAUUGUCAAUGGCCAAAAGGGCGUGCACCUGAGGCCCAUGAGGAGGUCCCCGCAAUUCAAGCCUCACGUAGAGACACCUCGCUGCUUAUCUUGCUUCUGCUGGCUCCGCAGUGCUCCCAACAUAUUUUGUUCUCUCAGCUGCAAGGUUGGUGUAGAUAUAUCUCAGGAUGAUUUCUCAGGACCUGAAGCUGAGCGUAGGCAUAAGCAGACUCUGGGAAUUGUGGUGGAGUCAUCUCCUCAACAGAGCAUCCCACAACCAUUUGAUGCCUCACCUGUGAGAAAUGAAGAUGCCACCAUGGUUGAAGCUGAGUGUGGUCAAGUUCAGACGAAUGCGACGGAGUCGGAGUCGUCAGCGGUAGGAGAUGCAGAUGAGGUUAUACCUAAAGUUACUAAGUUCAAUGUUGAUAUCCACUCUUUGAGGAGGCGAGUUCGCAAGCAGGCGGCACCACAGAGGGCCCCCUUCUUCUGA
This 976-nucleotide long non-coding RNA is filed under the name Oryza sativa Indica Group (long-grained rice). RNAcentral's name for it is "lncRNA OsMH63_03G009040". The record is from RNAcentral. Lineage: Eukaryota; Viridiplantae; Streptophyta; Magnoliopsida; Poales; Poaceae.